UACUUUAAUCAGUCAGUUGUAUCGUGGUC
RNAcentral lists this non-coding RNA (29 nucleotides) under Bombyx mori (domestic silkworm). Lineage: Eukaryota; Metazoa; Arthropoda; Insecta; Lepidoptera; Bombycidae. The record is from RNAcentral.